AACGAACGCUGGCGGCGUGGAUUAGGCAUGCAAGUCGAACGCGAAAGAGGGAGCAAUCCCUCAAGUAGAGUGGCGAACGGGUGAGUAACGCGUGAAGAACCUGCCUUCAACAGGGGGAUAACACUCCCAACGGGUGCUAAUACCGCAUGAGACCACGGGUCCGCAUGGACCUGAGGUCAAAGGUGGCCUCUGCUUGCAAGCUACCGGUUGAAGAUGGCUUCGCGUCCCAUUAGCUAGUUGGCGGUGUAAAAGACCACCAAGGCGACGAUGGGUAGCUGGUCUGAGAGGAUGGUCAGCCACACUGGGACUGAGAUACGGCCCAGACUCCUACGGGAGGCAGCAGUCGAGAGGCUUUGGC
Molecule: ribosomal RNA, 358 nt
Filed under: uncultured bacterium
Lineage: Bacteria
Description: bacterial SSU rRNA
Rfam family: Bacterial small subunit ribosomal RNA
Source: RNAcentral